GCUGGGGCAUCCCUCCUCCCUCUCCCCUGCCUGCCCCCAGCAGCUCUUGCGCCGAUUGGCUCCGGCGGCGCAAGAGGAGGCCUCGCGUUCGAAGAAAAAAGAUACCCGGACGUUCCGAUGGGAAGCGCGUUCGGAAAAAUGAUACACAACGUUCCAACGGGGAAGGGAAGCGUCCCGAUUGGUCCCGGAUGCCAUCAGGGCUGGCUGGGCUGACCAGCAGCUGCUGCCGAGUGAGGCCGCUGGGCUCCUUGCUUCUCGCCCAGCCUGGGGAACUUUAGGUAGCAAGCAGCAUUGAAUGGGCUGGGAGACAGCGGCGGAGGCACCCUUGGGUUUGCAGCGUGUGUGGAAGUUCUCGCCAUGAGCAAUCCCCAGGCAGCGGCAACUGCUGCUACUGCAGCACGAGCCCCCUCCUCUUUGCUGCUCCUGUUCCCACCCCCUGGCAUCUGAGGCGGAUCCCAGUGCAGACCCUGAGCCUCAUUAACUCCUCUGACCUGCUUAUUAUUUUUAAUUAAUUGAUUCCCCUCCCUCCCUCUAAGGUGCCUGGAAAUCUGUGACCAAUUGGGAGGAGAGGCGUGCUCGUCUGUGGAUAAAGUUUCGUUUUCUUUUCAAAUAGACUAAGAACAUAUACUUGUAUUUUUUUUAUUUGGUUGCACUCGUGGGAAUUCCUUCUUUAAGUUUUAUUUUUUUAAAGGGUUGUUGGAGGGGUGUGUGAGGAAACCAUGGGACUACCUGCUUUGGAAUUUAGUGACUGCUGCUUGGACAGCCCCCAGUUCCGAGAGAGGCUGAAAUCUCAUGAAGCUGAGCUGGACAAGACCAACAAAUUCAUCAAGGAGCUGAUCAAAGAUGGGAAGUCGCUCAUUGCAGCACUCAAGAAUCUGUCUUCAGCAAAGCGGAAGUUUGCAGAUUCCCUAAAUGAGUUUAAAUUCCGAUGUAUAGGAGAUGCAGAAACGGAUGAUGAAAUAUGCAUAGCAAAAUCCCUGCAAGAAUUUGCCACCGUUCUCCGGAAUCUCGAAGAUGAGCGAAUGCGCAUGAUUGAGAAUGCUGGUGAGGUCCUGAUCACUCCACUGGAGAAAUUCCGCAAGGAGCAAAUUGGUGCUGCUAAGGAUGCCAAGAAGAAGUACGACAAGGAGACGGAGAAGUAUUGUGGUGUCUUGGAAAAGCACUUAAACUUGUCUUCUAAGAAGAAAGAAUCCCAACUUCAAGAGGCAGACAGCCAGGUGGACCUGGUUCGACAGCAUUUUUAUGAAGUCUCCCUUGAGUAUGUCUUCAAGGUGCAAGAAGUCCAGGAGAGGAAGAUGUUUGAAUUCGUGGAACCUCUGCUGGCAUUCCUGCAAGGGCUCUUCACAUUCUACCAUCAUGGCUAUGAACUCGCAAAGGACUUCAGCGACUUCAAGACAGAGCUGACAAUCAGCAUACAAAAUACAAGAAAUCGUUUUGAAGGGACCCGGUCGGAGGUUGAGUCCUUGAUGAGGAAGAUGAAGGAGAAUCCCGACGAGCACAAGAACAUCAGCCCUUUCACAAUGGAAGGCUAUCUCUAUGUCCAGGAGAAACGUCACUUUGGGACCUCCUGGGUGAAGCAUUACUGCACGUAUCAGAGGGAAUCGAAACGAAUCACUAUGGUACCGUUUGACCAGAAGUCUGGAGGAAAAGGGGGAGAAGAUGAAGCAGUCACACUCAAAUCCUGCAUACGCCGGAAAACUGACUCGAUAGAGAAGAGGUUUUGCUUCGAUGUGGAAGCAGUGGAUCGGCCUGGUGUGAUCACCAUGCAAGCACUUUCUGAAGAGGACCGAAAGCUUUGGAUGGAGGCUAUGGAUGGCCGGGAACCGGUCUACAACUUGAACAAAGACAAUCAAAGUGAAGGCACUGCUCAGUUGGAUAAUAUUGGAUUCAGCAUUAUCAGGAAAUGCAUACAUGCUGUCGAAACAAGAGGGAUCAAUGAGCAAGGGCUCUACCGAAUUGUUGGAGUAAACUCCAGAGUUCAAAAGCUAUUGAGUAUCUUAAUGGAUCCCAAAACAGCUUCUGAAACAGAAACGGACAUCUGUGCUGAGUGGGAGAUAAAGACUAUCACCAGUGCACUGAAAACUUACUUGAGAAUGCUCCCUGGACCACUCAUGAUGUACCAGUUUCAAAGAAGCUUCAUCAAAGCAGCAAAGCUGGAGAAUCAGGAGUCCAGAAUCUCCGAGAUCCACAACCUUGUUCAUCGGCUCCCAGAAAAAAACAGACAGAUGCUCCAGAUGCUCACGAACCACUUGGCAAAUGUUGCUAAUAAUCACAAACAGAAUCUAAUGACUGUUGCUAAUCUGGGUGUGGUAUUUGGACCAACGCUGCUUCGACCUCAAGAAGAAACUGUUGCAGCGAUUAUGGACAUCAAGUUUCAGAAUAUUGUGGUUGAGAUUUUAAUAGAAAACCAUGAAAAGAUAUUUAACACUGUACCAGAGACACUACCACCAAACUCGCAGCUGCUGUUACUAUCUCGUAAGAAGAGUACUGAUUCCAAGCCUCCUUCCUGCAGCGAGAGACCAUUAACACUCUUCCACACAGCACAGGCCAAUGAAAACCAGGAGACAAGGAACAGUAUCAUCAACUCGAGCCUGGAAUCGGUCAUCUCUUCAAAUGUCAACAGCUUCCUCCACUCCAACAGCACUCUCCAACCCAACCUGAACUCGAGUGACCCUGACCUAGAAGUAAUUAAACCUCGUCGGCCAAACUCGCUCUCACCAUUCCGGAAAGCCAGAGCCUUGUAUGCUUGCAAAGCAGAACAUGACUCGGAGCUCUCCUUCACAGCAGGCAUCGUAUUUGAUAAUGUUCAUCCAUCUCAGGAGCCUGGCUGGUUGGAAGGAACCCUGAAUGGGAAGACAGGACUAAUCCCUGAAAACUACGUGGAGUUCCUAUAACUUUGGGCACAGAAGCAACACUGCUGAGCUUUACAUGGUAUCCAUGACAACUGCUGAUUAGAGUGUUGUAGAUCAUUUGCUCUUUGCCACCGUGAAAUGCAGGGUGAAGGACUUUCCGAUUCCUAUUGAAAUUAAUGUUUAUAUGAAUGAUAAUGUAUAUGUCUCCUUCGGUGAUCUAUUGUGGUGUGUGCAAAUAUACUGCAGAAGGGGCGGUCAGAGGCUCCGAGGAGGUCAUUCAACUCUUCCAACUUCUAGUAAAGGUGUGUGAUUCCUACAGCCACUGCUCCCACGUACUCAACUUUGUUCCUUUCGUUGAGCCAUUGUAUCAAUGAAAGGAGAAACGGCGAAGUGCAGGAGCUUAAAAAGGAAUGUUAAUACCCCUUUCAGGGCCCUAUUCUGCAAACCCUUGAUUUGAAUGAGUAGCCCCACUAACAUCAACCUAGACUUUAGUGGAACUGCUUAUCUGAGUACCAUUUUACACAAAUCCAGGGUACGUAGUUUGGACCUUAAGCCACCAUUUCACAUUGUAGGGAGGAGAUUACAUGGGAGCGAGGAGGCUGUUGCCAUUUCUUGCUCACAAAUUCUCCCCUCUUUGUUGAAUCAGCCAUAAUUGAUCUCUUAUUGGCUAACAGCAAAGCAGUGUCUCUCUCAUAUAGCUGUGAGAAGGGGAGAGGUUAAGGUACUGUUUACAUACAUCAAACCACUAACCAUUUCUGCAGCAGCAGUUUGCACAGCUCUGAGCCAUCCUUGACAGGAUUCAGUCCAGUCUCGACAAACGCAACACACCGAUUAUUCCCAUACCCUGGUGCUGGUGAUAGCCCUACUUACUUAGUAUUUUAUAUUUUUUAAAAUGCCAUUGUUUUCUGAUGGUGAAAGCAAAAACAAAAGAAGUUGAAUGAUCUCUGUGGGGUGAGUGCAGGAUCAGCUGUGAAUUUUCAGCGCUCUGAUGAGCAUCAGCACAAUGGAGGAGAGAAUAUUUUGGACCAAACCUUUCAUAACUUUUUUUUUUUAGAUUUAGAUUUAUGCUGGGUAAACGUCUGUGAUCUGUGCAGCCGGCAUUUCCUUCCUGGAAGGCAAGAUGCAGCUCAUGAUAAAUACCACUUGUUUUGUGUGACUUGCUGAUUCGUAUCAUCACUUACCAGUGCACAUUGUAGAGCGAGGAAUCCAUGCUUAUUGAAUGACCGGGCCACUCUUCCGUUAAUUUUGGUUAAAUUUGCCAUUCACUGCAGUUGCUUUUAUAGAUGGCGUCUUUGCUUGCAGCCUAGCAUAUAGUCUGGUGAUGCAAAGUCCGUGCAGUACUGAUUAUACAAAGUAAAUCUUCUGUAGCUAUAUAAGCAUUUAUUGUUCAUGUAGCCAAUUGAAAUUCUAAGGAAAACAAACAGUUAGUCCUUCCAAUGGUUUUUAUUUCACCCCUCCGCUCUUCCCUUAGAAAGUCUUGAAGCCUCCUCUCUUGAGUACCUGGUUUGGGAUAGAGUCACUCCAGUCUUGUAUUGUUCUCAAGAAAGUUUUUUUUGCAUAGUCCUUAGCACAGCUCAGAUUAUAUUAAAAAAAAAAAAGAAAAGUCAAACUUUCCUGAUAUUUUGUCAAGUGCUACAACAUUUUAUAAUAGAAAAUCAUGAGAAAAGCUGGCGUCUUGGCAGGCAGAAUUAUUUGUCUACCCAUCACGUUAUCACGCAGAGAUGGGGGAUUUAUUUUCUUUUUUAAUUAUUUUUUUUUAAGAACAUGAGUGCUUGAAUUGCUGUAUGUUUCACUUUUUAUUGUUGGAAAAAAUCAUAUGUAAAUAGGAUAAUUUGAAAUAUUAUGAGGGAAAGUUCUGUUUGAUAUUUGUAGCGGAGCUGUUAUGAGCUUCAUGUUCCAUGGAUAUUUGAAACCAAUUUACAGGGAAAAGCACACAAGCACACAACCUAACCUUUAAACAUGUUGACCUUUUCCUUCAUUUUGUCACCGACUCUGCCAGCCAGCUGGAUUGAGUUUUUGCUCACUUUUUAAUUUCAUUUACAUUAAUUAAACUUCCUAGACUUUGGUGUUGGAAGGAGACAAUCUAAUAUAUACUAUACAUAAAAGGUAGGCACGUAUGUGUGUGGGAGAGAGAGAUAAUGCGCACGCACACACACCUUUGUGGGUUUCAGAGUAGCAGCCGUGUUAGUCUGUAUCCAUAAAAAGAAAAGGAGUACUUGUGAUACCUUAGAGACUAACAAAUUUAUUAGAUCAUAAGCUUUCAUGAGCUACAGCUCACUUCAUCGGAUGCAUUCAGUGGAAAAUAUAGUGGGGAGAUUUUAUAUACACAGAGAACAUGAAACAAUGGGUGUUACCAUACCGACUGUAACAAGAGUGACCAGGAAAGGUGAGCUAUUACCAGCAGGAGAGCUGGGGGGGAGCGGGGGCGGAAGAACCGCAAAGUGGAACAAAACUAAGGGCUUUCUUUGCUUACAUCUAUAUGUGACAGAGAUGGGAGAAAGUAUAUCUUAGCUUCGUGGCAGUUUGCUUGCCUUUCCUUCAUCAAAAAAAUCAUUAAAAGGCUAGAAAUUGUUGAAGGAAGAUAAUGGAAUGUUAAGGAUGAAAAACAAGUGAUUGACAGGCCUGUACAGAGGAGGAAGGGACAGAUUUCCAGUAUAUCCAAAUUAAAAAAAAAAAAAAAAAGAAGCCAGGUGCAAGGGUUACUUAGCUAAAGCUCUCUCUUACUAUUCACUGAUUGACUUUUAGAAGCCGUUGAUACAAUUCUGGGUUACUUUAGUGUCAUACUUGUGAGCUACACAGUGUGACUGCUUGUGAAUAAAUUGAUAGAUAAGAUCAUACCCUCUUUGGACAGGACUGGUUAGAUUGUCAGGAAAAGUAACUGACUAUAACUAACCCCAUCCUAUAGUAUUUUCUGGUUUGAAAAGUAAUCAAAUUAAGAGGAUAAAUGGCCUGGGGGUGGGGAGGGGAUUCAUAAUGGGAUAGAGGAGAGUUUUUUUCACCAAUAUGUUGCUGAUUUAAAUCCAUCCUUGCAUGUUAGCAGCUAAAAAAAAUUACCAGCUGAUUUCUGUUUGGUAUCCUGUAUGAAAUUGUUUGGUUGGUCUUCAUCCAUAUCCCAGUGGACAGGUGUCUGUGUUGCAAUAUUCACCACUACGAUGCGUCCUCAUUGGCCUUUGUGUUGACAUCCACAAAUUAAAACCAAAGAUUUUGAAUGGGCAAGGGAGAGUGAACUAAUUGCUCAACUCAGAGGUGAAGGACACUCCCCACUGCAAGCAGGAUGGUAUAACGUACACUACUGUUAUCUAUGCUGAACCUGUUCUGUGGGUAGACAGAGUGUUUCAUCCUCCAUGACUGUCAGGCAUGUUUGUUCAAUUUUGUCCCCUCUACGCAGAUGAUGUCUGGGUUCUGUGGCCCCUCCCUCACCUGAAGAGAUGGGGCUUCUGCUUCUUUGGUCUCUGCCCAACAGCAUUAGCUAGGCUGGCAUAUUUCACCAACAUUAAAUUCAACUGAAAAAAUUUGAAAGCUUUAAAACACAAAAAGGAACCCAUUUGCUUCUCAAGACAACCUGUCUGAAAGUAAUUUGUUUCCAUGAUGAGUUACUUUAAAAAGUAAGCUGGUUCUGUGUGCGUAGCUCUUGUAAUCAGUUCUUUUUAAUGACCCUGCCCAGAAGCCUCAUUUAAGUGAAUGGGAGUCAUGCAGUUGGAACCUUUGGCAAUCAUUUUAAAAAAUAUACUCCUCCUUGCUCAAAUGGAUUCAACAGCUACCAAACAGACCCAUUGGCUUUUUACUGCUUGAUACGGGUAGUAUCAAAGUGAUCAUUGAUAUCUGUGCUAUUUAGAUGAAAUCUUCUUCACCCCCUACAGAAUGCCUAUAAUAUCAAUCAGGAUUGUCAUGUUAAUUUCAUAGGUGCAUUGCCUAUGUUGAUAUGUUUGCAGAGGUCCCAAUGGAAAGGAGAGGAAGCCUAACUUGUUGGCCUGAUAUGAUUGUUUGCGUGUAUCUGUGGUUUCCAUAUCAUGACCCCAGUCCUACAAUCAUAUCUGUCCCUGCAUCCAUCUGACGCCCCUUGGAAUCAGUGGGGCUCUGUACAGGUGAAGGGGUUUGCCCACACAGAACCAGUUCAAGAAUGAGGUUCAUAUCUGGAACCUUUUUUUGUUUUAGCUUUUAAAGGAAAACUGCACCGCAAUAUAAAGCAUAAUUUGUUAUACGUAACAUUUUCAAAACCAUUUAAGUGACGUAGUAGCCUAAGGCUAUUCUACGCUUGUGAGUUUUAGUGCAAAAAGUCAGGUUUUUGUGCAAAAACCACGCUAGUGUCUUCACUGGAAAUCCAGAUUUUGCGCUGAAACUGCUGAGUUUCAGCGCAAAAAUAAAACCACCCCAACGAGAGUCUUUUUGUGCUAAUGCUUUUGCGCUGAUGUGCCAGUGAAGACUCUCGAUUGCUUUUACCUGUCUAAUUGCCACAAUGUAGAGCGGGAACACACACACACACACACACACACACACACACACACGAUUUGCUUUGAGUCCCGGAGCAGUGCAUAGUGGGAUAGCUACCACAGUGCGCUUUUCUCAUCUGCAAUGCAAGUGCUGCAUAUAGAAACACGCUCUGACGCCUGUGGAAAACAAUGUGAACACAAACCGGCACUUUGCUUUUAGCGCUUUUCUAUCACUGACAAAACUGUCAGCGAAAAAACUCUGCAAGUGUAGACAUAGCCUCAGUUCUCUUUUUACUUGGGCACCUAGUGCCUUUCAGUGAGAAAGCCAGGUCCACACCAAAGUCUUUUCCCUGCAUAUUGAUGUCUGUUAGGGGUGUAAAUUUUGCAACAUAGCUAUGCCAGCAAACGCCUCAAUGCAGACGCAGUUAUACCAGUAUAAAAGUGCUUUUGCCGGUAUAGCUUAUUUCACUUGCAGGACUGGUAUAAGCUGUAUCAAUAAAAACACUGAUAUAAGCUGCAUGUGUACUAGGAGUGUUUCAUCUGUGUAGCUUUAUCUGCAAACCUCUUUAGUGUAGGCUACGCCUUAUUUUCAAAAGUAACUUGGGCACUUAGGAGCCCAAGUCCCAGGCUCCUAAUAAUGUUACCCUGUCCUUCAUUGCAAACAAAAGUACAUUGCUGAAGUUUUUACAAAAUGUCUUAAGGUUAAUUAAAGCAUCAAGUUGGAAGUUGCCUUUGUUAAAUUUAAAGGUUAAAAAAAUCAGAAUUUUUUUUUCUGAAAAUGUUGUGAAUUUCUCCCCCUUUUGGGGCAACUAUAAAGCUGGAUUGUUUUUGUCAAAUUUCAAAAUUUUAAAUUAAAAAAGGGGAGGGGGGAAUGAUAUUUAACCCGCACUACUAUGACAAAGACGUUAAAGCUGUUAUUCAAAAGAAUCAGAAAGCAGCGACUUUCAAAGUUGCUGCUAUAUGUAUUCUAUCCUUUAUUUAUUAAUUUUAAACUUGUGUUAGCAUUUUGGCAAAAAAUACAUAUUGCCAUAAUAUCUGUUGAAACAAAACAUCAGUAACAAGUGUUAGGGUGAAAUCUUGCCCCCUUUGAAGUCAGUUGCAGCCAGGAUUUCACCUUUAGCAUCUAAUAUAGCACAAAUAAAGUAUUUAAUAGAGUCCUGGGAAUGAAGACCUUCAAAUCACCUUGGUUUAAACUAAACAGGUAAGGCUAGAGGCCUGGUCUUUGGAUCUAUAAAAGUCAGUUGGUGUCUUUUCAUUGAUUUCAAUGGGCUUUGGAUCAGGCUGUAAGAGAGUUAAUCCCUAACUCCUGUAAGGCCCAGAUUCGGUAAGGCCUCAAGCUGUGUAAAGCUCAAUUAAAGUUAUUGGUCCUAUUUUUGGAGGAAGGCACUACUCAAUCUGAGUAAGGGUUUCAGAAUCUGUGCCUAAAUAUUUAGGUAUCAGAGAUUCCUAUUCAACUCUUUUUAGUCAGACAUAAUAUUCCCUCCUCAGUGGGAGCUUUGCCUGAGUUUUAAGGCCUAAAUAGCCUUGUAAGCCAUUAUAACUAAUCACAGCAGUUUUCCUUCACUAGCUUACUGUAGCUGAGCCAUUAAAGGGGGGAGGGAGAUAUCAAGAGAAACUAAAAUGCUCAGUAUAAAAAUGCCAUUUUGAAACACUUUAUUAAUAUUUAUUCCAACUAUUUACAAUAUACAGCUACAUUCUUUAAUACCUUAAGAAGAAUGCCCCAUAAUGUUGUAGUUAUCAGUGUUUAACAGAUCUUAUGCAAAGCUGUUUAAAAGCAUUUAAUGAGAUAUGGAGAGUGUUAAAAUCAAUGUGGGUGCAUGUUAAAUACAUGAAUGAAGAUUAUUUUCAAGCCUAUAGUAAGUGCUGUAUAAAGUAAUAAAUAUUAAUAAAGUCCUUAUAAAUGGCACCUUCAUGGAAAAUAUCCCAUAAAAAUUGCUGAUUUAAACAUCAGAUUCAGUUUUUUAGUAUUGUAGGAUGCAGUAAUUGUAAAACUGUAUGUUCUUGGGGUGUAACUUUUAUUUUAACCUUUACAACCUGGUACAGAAGUUCUGAAAGAUUCACUCAGUGUGUGGCUCUAGAGUAAUCCCCGUUAGCAAGCUCAUUAUGUUCCAUUCUUUGGUAGGUUUGGGUGACAAGCCAUGUAAAGUGGCAAUAUGAUUUUGAAUUAAAUAUCUGUUCUGCUUGGAGGCUGCUAAGCUCCUUUCAUGGGGAGAGGAUGGACUAGAAGCUUGCACUUGAAACAACCUUUUUCAUUUUUGCCAGAAAAGAAGCUAUUAUGUAAAAGAUGCUGUCUUUUCAAAGGUAGCCAGCUCUGUUGUGUGCUGCACAGUUACACUAAUCAGUACCCACCACGCUGUCACCUGUCACCACUCUGGGAUGGUCAGAUUUUAAAUUCAGAAGACAUUAGUGGUGACAGUCACAUCAGGGCGUGAACAUCUCUGUGUUAAGCUGACCACAAACAUUGCAGUUGUUGUGUGAUAGCCAAUCAUAUCAAACACGUACUCCAGUGUGCUUCUGCAGUGAUCCUUAAUUUACUGUUUUCUCAGCAUGCUCCCCACCCACACAAACCUAGUAGCAUAGGUAUGGUAAGAUUUCCUUUUCUACGAUCUUUUUUUGUCCUUUCUUUCUAGGUCACAGGUUGCCUGCAAGCCAAAACUGUCCCAUUGCGUUCUGCAGUGCAGCCGAUGGCAACCUCAUGUUUAAUAGGGAGAUUACAGGUGACAGCAUUCAAAGCUCUAUCUCAAGCCAAGAGCAGGCUUAAGUAGUAGCUACUGUACUUGUAUCAGACACAGUGCCUGCUUUACAGUCACUGUGUUAGAUUGUCACUUCUAAAAACCUUAGUUUUUAUGUGAUCAGGGUCGGUCCGGGCUUACGCUCUGGCAGUUUUCUUCCCAGAACUUCACCUCCCACACUAAAAGUCUUGUAGAAUUUAGUAAGGAUGAAACCAAAAGGGUUUCAUAGAAAUUACUUUUACAACCUAUACUGUUUAAUAGAGAACGAGAUCCCUUCAAUAGACUUCUGUUGGUCGGCUUAAAGGUUAUCAUUCUCCAUUAAUUCUCUAUUAAAAUCUAUAGGACUUUGCCACAAGGGAUCAAUUAAAAAUGAAGACUUUAUAAUUGUUUUACUCAAGCAAGAAGAAAAUGCUGAGAAAUAAAAAGAAUGACACAGAAGGUUAAAAGAAAUAAAAUGCAGCUAAUUGGAGUGUCUAAAGAAGUCCAGUUUACAUUUCCAAUACUUUAUUGUGCUCUAAGGUAUUACCGUACUUUACCAUCUAUCUACUAUCCUCUCUUCCCCAGCUCAUCCCUGUGUUGCAGCGAUUCAGCAACUCCACUCAAGCUUUGCCUCUUAUUAUAUUGUAGGACAGUGACUGAUUCUCUGUUCAUGUGAAGAUCUCUAGGAAAAGUUCCCAUUAGGAUACCAGUGCCAUACGGCAGCUGUUAAAAUUCCUUUGCUUGGAAAUCUGGAAACUGAUUGUGCUCCUCUUGCCAUGGGAAAAUGCAGAGGGUUUGUGAUGGAUGUCACUUGCUCCCAACUUUUAUUUGGCGCUAUUGACUCCAAAGCAGACUCUGAGCCCCUCCAAAGCAGACCCUGGAGUCUGAGAGUCAUGGACAGCCAAUCAGAGGUACAGGGCUCUGUAAACCCCAAGUAGCCCAGUACAACCUCCAGUUUGAAAGGCUGUUGACAAUCUGACUAACUGCAGAAAUGAAGCCAUGAUGGGGAGGCAUAAAGGCUCAACUGCCCUGUACCAAAGUUCUCUGAGAAAAGUGACCCUGUAGCCCCACCCUAUCUUUCCCCUGAUGGGGAUUUUUUAUGCUUUUCAGUCUUCAAGAGCCUUCCAUCUCCAUGUGUUUAAAUCCCUCAAGACCCAUUUCUCUGUGUUCAGGGAAAACUUGAUGGGAUUUCCUUUCCACUCCUUAGUCAAGAGGUGUUACUGCUAACCACUCAUUUCUCCCAGUAGAUGGUAUGUGCUACCCUGUAUCAAUCCUAGAUCAGGAAGAAUUAAGCCCCAGGAAUCAAGGAAUCAAUCCCGGUUUCUGUUCCUUAUCACAGGAUGUGGAUGUAAUUGUGGUUGGUGAUUGAAGUAAUACAAGACUCCCAAUUCCAAGGCCUUUCGUGUGAUCAUGCACAGUAAAUCAUUCUCAGCUGGAAUUGCACUUUGAUUAUAAAAUGUACAGUACAGAAGAAUUCUCUGACCGGGACAACUUUAAUUCAUUGUGCACAGCUGAAAGGCAGUGAAUGCAACUAGAAGACAGACAUAUGGAGACUAACCUGUGUUUCUGCUUAGGACAAGGAAGUGUUCUUUACCCAAGAGCAACUAGCUGCUUGAUCUUUUUUCCACAGACAAGAAGUUUGCUCAGCAUUGUGAUGCUCAUGCAUUCUCAUUUCACAACCUCUUCUCAGCACACAAGUACAACACUGUGACACUAAUGCUAACUGUUGAUGUUUUCUCUGCUUGGGAACCAGCUAGGGGAGAGAUGCUAUCAACGCUGCAGUGCAAACUGCAGCUGGAUAGUUAGAGAAGGAUAAAUAUCAAAUAAUUCAGUUCAAAUAAGCUCCCAAACAUUAUGUGAAUGUUGUGGAGGUGGAAUCUCACAAGAAGAGACAUUGUCAUGAGACUUCUAGUACUCACUGCGUCCCGUCAGGACAUGACAUAGACGUUGACUUUGCCGCAGUCUAAUAUUUCCACUUCUGCUCCUGGCAUGAGAUGGAAGUGGAAAUGAAAAAGAGAAUGUGAAAAUGCAAAAUAAGAGGGUGUUAACUGAACUUUUUAAACUUCACAAUCAGGGCACCAGGUUACAAAGUCUUUUGUAAAAUGGUUUCUUAACAUGGCCAAAAAUGUAAUUAAGACCAGGAAGAGGGAGCAAGUUACCAAGUGACCUACAACUUCAUUGCUUUUUAGUCAACCACUGCUAACACAAUUACAGCUUUGUGUGUUGUCUGCACCUGACCUGUUGACAACAAGUGGCAAAUAUGGUUUGCUCAUAAUGAGUUAAAUGUGUUUCGCCUGCUAGCGUAGACAGGGCUGAACCAUUUUUGCUACCUGUUCCAGAGAGAAUCAAGGUAUAAGAUGCUGAUGUUUUAUUCUUUGGAGGUUUUUAAUAGCUGUUUGCAGCUAAUGGCCAACUUUUCCAAACCUGAGUGUCUAACAUUAGUCACCUAAACUUAUAUUUGGGUUUGAAAAUAAAUGGCCUGAUUUUCAACUGCAUUGACUUAAGUGGAAGUUGUGGGGGCUCAAUCUCUGAAAAAUCAGACCACCUGGGGAGAUGCACCCAACUUUGCAAACUUGAGCCCUUUACCACUCCACUUCUAUAUGACAUGCUAGGUGAUGCUGUAUGGAGAAUGCUGCAUGUACAGUACUGGGGCUGAAUAAUUUAUUGUCCCAUCUCAGGACGCCUGCAUGGGAAUUUGUCAGGUCAUUUCUAAUGAGUCACAGUGUUUGGCAACAUGCUCUCGACAUGGUACGUAUUUGGUUUGUCCAACUUUAUGAAGAUUCUCUCCCCCCCCCCCUUUUUUUCUUCAAAAUCACUUGCCAAAUGUUUUAAAAAUGCAGUAAAUUAUGUAAAUAUUUGUAGUGGAGGAGUACAGUUGUGCACACACGGCACAUCACACACAGAGUAAUGUGUUCACACAUAGAGAGAGAAACACAUAGCCAAACACCUGAAUCUUUAAUCUCCUUGGGACAGGAAUUAUAAAUUGUAGGACAUCUGAACUGAAAUCUUACCAUUUCUGAAGGGAAAAGUCACAAUGGGGGUAGGAGGAGGGGAGACCAGUGUUAGAAAUAGUUGGACAGCUGGUGCUGUUAAUGUUCUUCACACAGAUGGCCUUGGAAGCAUGAGUUGUGUUAUUUCAGUCGCCUAUUAGGACCCACAGUCACUACUAGGACUGUUGUUAUCGUACCUGUUCCUAGUCAUAUUUACACAAGUCUGAUAAAGGGAAUAUGGGUCUUACUGGGAGGGACUUUAUAAAAUCAGAGUAAUGCAACCCCUGCUGCACUUGUGCCAGCACGGCAGUCUGAUUUGAUUUGCACUGUUAAUUACUCAGACAAAAACAAAAUAAACCCCAUCCCCCAACCACCACCAAGCAACCUAAGGCUGUGACCUUUCCAGACCAGCUGAAUCCCUCAAAUCCUUUAUUGAUCAGGUCCUGAAGGGUGCAGCGUUAAACGAUGAGAACAGCAAUGCCCGAGCCAUCUGUUUUUUUCCCCUAGACAAGCGUGGAGGCUCAGAUUAUGCGGAUUUGCGUAAUCCAUGUAUUAUCGCUGUGUUAAUUGGACGGUGCCGUGGAGUCACUUUGUUGGAAUGUGAUCUCUCUGUAAAUCACUGUGCCAAGGGGUUCACACUGCAGUGUGGGAAGAGGGUCCCUUCAGGCAGGAGUAGAGUUGUGGUUCACUUGUCACUGUAGAAUAACAACUUGCAAAGCCUGGUCAGCACAUUGGGUUUGGAUUGCAGAUGUGUCCGGUUUAGUUUCAUUGAUUUUUGACCUACGGCAAAUGGAGUGGGCUUUUGUUUUUUCAUUUCUUUCGAAGAGAAGGAGAGCUCAGCACCGCCAAGAACUAUACAGUACAUAGGAAUAGUCUGGAGAUGAUGUAUCCUCUGCUGUGGAGUCACUCAGAUUCUCUGCAGAGCAGGGCAAGGAUUUAGAGAGAUUCAACCAGCCAGAGGGAGUGGGGCUCCAAGGAUAAUAAAUUAACCGUUCCCAUGUCUGAGCGGCUAGCCUGCCUCUCUUUAAAUGCUGCUUGAUAACUGAAAAUAAAGGAGAAAUAAGGAAAAUGAGGCACAGUUGGAAGAACCUCAGUGCACCAGGUGGCAACAGGAGGAUAAUUAAUGAUCACUGUUUUUUUCUGCUGUUUGAAGAUGUCGAGACGCUGUGUGUACAGGGUGCAGUAAUGCAGUCCAGAACCACUGUCCUGAUAGGAAAUCUCACUCUUUUUUAAAAAAAAUUUCUGGGCAAUUUCCCCUCACGGUAGAGCUGAAUCUCACCCAGUUCAAUGGAGUAUCGAUUUAAACCAACUGCUUGCUGCAAAAGUGGGGAAAGUCACAUUCUCAGAUGCAAAAAGAAAACCCAUUCCUAAAGGGCCAAGUUAUGAUUAGAAAGUGCAUGGCACUUGAAUUACUGUACUGAACCAAAAAACUCAGAGCAAUUAUAGCUUGUAGGUUUGUGCCAAUUAGAAUCUUAUUUCAUCAUUUAAGGAAUAGAAACCCCCCUUUAAAAAAAAAUCAUCCUUUUUAUUUUACUCCAUGGGCUAUGAACUGAUUAUUUGAAAGCCAAGAGGGAGCAAGCAGCUUGUAAUUUAGCACAACUGUUUGAUUGCUCAGAAAAUAGGACCUAGUGAUUACCUAUUAUAAAUCCUCCCUUCAACUAAUGAAGCUUAUGCUCGCUUCUAAACCACAGACAAAAGUGGCUUGAAAAUAGCCCCUGUGCUCUAAAACUCACUGACGCACUAUAGGGAAAAAAAUCCCAUCCUGUGACUCUGCUGCUGAGCUCUAAUUAUAUUUCCCUUCCUAGGAAAAGGCAAAGGAUGGACAUUUGUUCUCUGCUUAAGGUCCACUGGUUUUCCAUAAAAUAGCUUUCCUGUGAUUGGCGUUUCCGAUCGGAGCAGCCACACUGAUCUCCACAUCCCCUCCAAUUAAAUUGUCUCUUAGAUCCAGAGGAAAGAUAAGAGAUUCAGGGUAGAAUGCAGAUAAGUGGAAUCAGCUGGUGUGUGGGCUGGAUCCAACCUGUUUCAAAGAGUAAAAGCCAGUGCAGUGAUAUAUUUUCAUUUAUCAUCAAUGUGAAGGGGAUGCCAGGGGUUUAAGCUUAUUGCAAAUCAAAUACACAAUUUCAAUGGAUCUGCUCAUGUGCUUAAAGUUAAGCAUGUGCUUAUCGGCUUUGCUGGAUCAGGCUAGAGUGCUCAGCCUAUGGCAGGAUCAAGUCCCCAGUGAAGUACCAGGUUCUAGCCACCUCAGUUAUGUCCAUUUACCUCAAGCCUCACAAGCAUUUCAGAGGAUCAGAAUUCGGUUGCAUUCUCUGUUACUAGUUUGGUCUCAUCAGUGAUACUUUGUGGGUGACCAUUUCUUCCCAGAAUUAGCCAGUGUUGGGUACAUGAAUCUCAGUAUGUUUCUCUUUGUAGUAUGUAGGCAUUUGCGCAUGACCUAUGUUUGCUUGCUUCACACAAAGCGGAAACAACUUUAUUUUAGCAAAGGUUUGCUCUCUGUUAGAGAUGGGCCUGAUCCAAAAUUGUGAGUCUAUACGCCCUAGACUUUAGGAAGUUCUUAACAUGAGCUGGGAUCCUGGGCCGUGACUGGGGCACCUAGGCAUUACGAUAUUACAAAGAAAUAAUACCAUGUAGCUUGGACACAACCCUACUGUCCAGGCCUUUGCACUGAAAUUGCUUCUUGCUGGUAACUUUGUUCAUCACAGUCCCUCCUCCUUUCUAUCACAUUAGCUGAGAAUGUUGCCCUAGACUCUGUUGUUCAAAACUAAAUAUUUGCAAAUUGCAAAGAUGAUCAGAUAUCCUGAUGAGCUCUCUCCAACAACCAUCCGAGAGGGGUGCCAAGAAAAAAGACACAAUAAACUAGGUUCUAUGAUUUGGGGUAUGUCUACACUGCAGUUAGACACCCCUCGCUGGCCCAUGCCAGCUGACUUGGGCUCAGGGGAUUUGGGGUAAGCGGCUGUUUAAUUGCAGUGUAAAUGCUCGUGCUGCAGCCCUAGCUCUGAGACGCUCCCACCUCGCAGAGUCCUAGAGCCCAGGCCACAGCCCAAGCCUGAAUGCCUGCUCUGCAGUUAAGCCCUUUAGCCAGAGCCCCGCAAGCCCAAAUUAGCUGACGCAGGCCAGCCGCAAGUUUUUUAUUGCAGUGUAGACAUACCCGUAGAAACUAAACUGGAAAAUAUAUUAGAUCAAAGCCAAAAAUGUCCAUUUCUUUGUCACGGGCUCUAUGCCACAUGAGUUUUAAAUGCACAGACUUUCUUUUCCCACUUGCUCUGCCCUAUUUUAAUGCUAGUUUUCUUUUAUGAUUAAAUUCUACUGGCAUUCUGCACAUUGACAGCAGGCCAAAGACUCAAAACGGGGUGGUGGGCGGGGGGGGAAAUCAUUCUGUUGUACCACCAAAAACUAUGCUCAUACUGUUGUUAUAUAAUACCUGUAUAUCUUGUCAGAUUCAAAAAUUCAUGAAGGGGACACACAGGGAAAAAACAUGCAGUUGAUGACUGCAAGCCAGUUAGUUUGUAUUCCUAGAGAUCAGAUGUUUCGCUUGGGUUGGACCUUCUUGGUAGAAGCUGGACAGGUUGAGUGAAAACACCACAAGCUCCAGAAAAAGUUUGUGGGACAGAAGUGUAUUAAUGUUAUAAAAUAAUCCUUCUCUGUUAGUGUUUGAUAUUGUCCAAUAGUAAUCACUUCUUGCUGUGGUAUCACAUUUGAUGGUUUGAGUUUGUUUGUUUUUUUAAACCAGUGGGUACUACUGUUAAAUCAGGAGGCGGGGCUAAUAGAAGUUGUGACUAUGUAUGUCAUCAUCUGGAGUUCCUCUGGGUUCCCACUUGUGCUUAAAGAUUGUAAUGAUGUUUCCUCCAAAGGCUGGGUGAGGAGGGCAUUUAAGUGGCACCCAGGGCUUGCAGUUCUUCCCCUCUUCAUGUCCCUCUCCACACGUGAACUUCAUAAAUCUUCAUUUAUACUCUUGGCUGGCUGUGUCCUGUGCAGGCUCAUGAGAAAUAUUAAAAUACAAUUUGAAAUAAAGAUUUGUAUUAACCAAAGGAUGAGUUUAGCUUUACACAUAUCUCUAUAUAUUUUUUGAAAGUUGGGAUUUAAUUUAAAUCUGGUAUAGUCUUAUGUAAAUGAAGAUAAGUUCCAGAUGGGAUCAGACAACACAGCGUUUGAGCUUCCUGUCAUAUUUUAAAAAUUGAAGCUAACUGGCAAAAUAAAAAAGGCUUCUCAAAUCUGUGUCACGAACAACAUCAAUUAGCGUGGCUAUGGAUCUGUGUUUCACAGCAUGGACGAUCAUCGUUUUCUAAUGUGUGUGUUGAUAUUUCUAUCCAGAAUAAGAAUAGUUCUUGGGCAAGCAUGCAAUCCCUUAGUCUAAUUUUGUUCACAUAUCCAGCAUACCUGAUGCAGGAUGUGUCGUGGAUGUGAGCCAGUGUUAUGAUAUAGCACCAGCAAAUAUAGCACCAGAAGGCUGUGUAAUCCUUCCUUCCAGCUAAUUUACCCAAGAGCUACAAGCCUUGUACUGGAGUAUUUGAAACAUACUUGAAGUUUAUAUUUACUGGGCCAGUGCAGCCACAAAAACGUGGUACAAGGAUGGGGGCCCAAGCUUGAUUUAUAAUGAAAAGCAUUUAUCUCUUUUUACUUUACCUCCGGUAACCCAUCCAUUCACGCUUUCAUUCUAGUGCUGUCGAUACUGGUCUUCUGACAGUAAUUCAAAACGAAGGGCACUUCUUGAACUAGUAAAUAACUCUGUUGGCGGAAUCUAGCAUUUUUGUAGAGCUAGGUCAUGCAGUUGACUGCACAACACAGUAAAUAUACAUCCGCUAUAUAUAGGCAUGGAAGGGAAGAAUAGUGUGCUUCAUAUGUUUGUCUUGUAUUUGCUAGUCUGUUAAAUUUUGUAAAUAUCAUUUUACAUGUGCCUUUUUUAGAGCUUAUUAAUUUUGUUUUUUUCAAAAUGUAUAAUAAAUAUUUUUGGGCCCAGGAA
Molecule: RNA transcript, 17940 nt
Organism: Chelonia mydas (Green sea turtle)
Lineage: Eukaryota; Metazoa; Chordata; Testudines; Cheloniidae
Gene: ARHGAP26
Gene name: Rho GTPase activating protein 26
Exons: 23
Source: RefSeq, a predicted model, not a curated record